GUUUCUAAGCAAACGCUGUAUUAAUGCAGUGGUGUUACCUCUCGUCUUCCUAGUCCUCACAGAUGCGUAUUAGAAAUGGAACUGAAUAAAAUCAUCCUCCGCCCAGGUCACACUGAAAACCUUCCUCAGCACUUCAUCCUUCUCGGACGACAGUUCAGAGGACAUGUUUAGCCUCUCUGCACAGGACAGGUUCUCCCUCUCGGAGAUGCACACAGCUUUGAAGUGCCUCAGCCAAGUCAUCAGUGCACAAGUUUUGAAGGCAGACCAUCAUACUGUACCAUUCUGCCCUUCCUGGUAGCAAAGGAGAUUGUCUGAGAAGCUGCAAGUCUGACAAUCAAUGCAUACUCAAUAAAUAUUUCUCUCGAGCUGCAUAAAAAUACAAUCUAUUUCCAGAACCUCAACAGUCCAAUGAUGGCAAAAGCCACAUCAGCUAUGU
Long non-coding RNA from Peromyscus eremicus (cactus mouse), 436 nucleotides. RefSeq lists it as uncharacterized. The transcript has 3 exons. NCBI's taxonomy places the organism in Eukaryota, Metazoa, Chordata, Mammalia, Rodentia, Cricetidae. The record is from RefSeq and is a predicted model, not a curated record.